Molecule: microRNA precursor, 279 nt
Filed under: Medicago truncatula (barrel medic)
Lineage: Eukaryota; Viridiplantae; Streptophyta; Magnoliopsida; Fabales; Fabaceae
Description: MIR2655 microRNA precursor family
Rfam family: MIR2655 microRNA precursor family
Source: Rfam by way of RNAcentral
CCCUUAACUAUUAAAAGUUUCGUUUUGGUUCCUUAACUUAUUUUUUGGUUUCGUUUUGGUCCCUUAACUUAUUUUUUGGUUUCGUUUUGGUCCCUUAACUCUUCCUCCGUCAACCACUUUGGUCCUUUAUGCUAGGAUGAAUGUAUUAGAGUUAAGGGACCAAAACGAAACCAAAAAAUAAGUUAAGAAACCAAAACAAAACUUUUAAUAGUUAAGGGACCAAAACGAAACCAAAAAGUAAGUUAAGGGAACAAAACGAAACUUUUAAUAGUUAAGGGA